This 1466-nucleotide long non-coding RNA is filed under the name Triticum aestivum (bread wheat). RNAcentral's name for it is "long non-coding RNA (TAES_LNC026702)". The record is from RNAcentral. Lineage: Eukaryota; Viridiplantae; Streptophyta; Magnoliopsida; Poales; Poaceae.
CGGCGUGGUGACCACCGAGUCGUGGCGAACACAUGCAACGUUGGUCAUACACAACAGCUCAAUUUCUUCAGAAUUGGCAUAUGUAGUCAUAUACUCUAUACUCAUGUGCUGCUAUUUCUAGAGGUAGCCCCCUAAUCAAAUAAGUAAAUAUUUGGUGUCUAAUUCAUCAUAAAAUAUUUGUGCUUGGCGGAAUAAAUUUCACACAUGACUCGAUUUUGUUAGUCGAAUGGUUUAUAUGAGCAGGAGAUAAUCUUCUUAAACUGGACACUUAGAAUAGUUCGUUACUUGUUUGCUUAGUUGUGUUAUCUAUCCCAUCUCUUGUGCAUGGAACAUAACCUCAAAAUCUGCACAUAAUAUUCCAAGGUCUCCAUCACGAUAUGUCAAGUAAAUCUCAAAAAGUGAGUUGAUUAAUUUCCAUGUGAUGUGUAAGUUAUUAGUGGCCAUUUUUUUUAACCAUCCAGUUUGAGUUCACUUCUGGCAGGUAGACUUGUAGAAUAUGACACUUUCAAGAUUUUUUCGAUUAUGUGAUGUAGCAACGUCAGAUGUGGUAGAAAAUGCAUUCAUGGUUCGUGUGAAAAAGGGCAAAAGCUUUGCCUCUGCUUAUACUAACCAUUAGUUUAGGAUAGUAUACACAGAUCUAUGUUGCAUUAGAUUUUUAAAACUCUUUACGGCAGCUGGUUUGUGCAUAAUUUACAAAGAUAGUUUUCCUGAUUGACUUACAUGCUGUUUGUUCUAAAAAAAUAAAAAAUGUAUGCAUGUGAAUGGUGGGUAUGCCUGAAUGUUUUCCCGCUAAAGAAAAAAGAUACAACUGAAACUUAUGGAACCUUUAUCCAACUCCUAGGUUUUUGCCAGCGGCUGAGGUAGGAAAUAUACAAAUCACAAGCAACCAUAUUGUACGUCUUGAUUAGGCCAUCAAGAGAGCAAAUUUCCGCAAAUUCCAGUUCUCAAAAAAGUUGCUCACUUUCAGAAGUAUUAGCUAUUGGAUAAUGUUAUGUGUCUCUGCGGAAGUCUUUAUUUAUUUUGGUCUGUGCAUAUGUGACAGGUCUAAACUCGAGGGGGGUGAUUGAUAUUGUCAUGCGUGUGAAGGUGUGCUUCACAAAUGCUCUUCUGCUUGGGAACAUAGAACUGCAGGAUUUGCUUCCAAUGGUUAUGCCUUAGAUCAUGAAAACGAAAGUGACACCCAGGUAAUGGAAGUCUUUUUUUCUUCUAAAUUUGAUAAAUUAUCAGUUAUGUAUGUGCUAUUGCAGUGUGCCUUGAACAUUGUGUUGUACAAAAGAUUGGGAUGAUUUUCAGAAGAUGCAAUGAUAUAUAUGUGUCUAGGAUUAGAAUUAGAUAGUGGAUUGGUAGACAUGAUUAUCCUUGAUCUUUUAAUCAUCAUCCUAAGUUAAGGAAACAAAUGCAUGUAUCCUCUCUUUUUGCUAUGUCCAUGUUUUAUUGAAGAUUGAUAGAAAUAAACAAUAUUCUUG